Molecule: non-coding RNA, 265 nt
Organism: Domibacillus enclensis
Lineage: Bacteria; Bacillati; Bacillota; Bacilli; Caryophanales; Bacillaceae
Source: Rfam
CCGUGCUAGGUGGGGAGGUAGCGGUGCCCUGUACUCGCAACCCGCUCUAGCGAGACUGAAUUCCUUCUCGAGGCUGUUUAAUUGUGGGGCCUGCCUUUUGUAAGUGGCGUUGACGUCCGGGUCCUGCGCAAUGAGAACCCAUGAACCAUGUCAGGUCCGGAAGGAAGCAGCAUUAAGUGGACUCUCUCAUGUGCCGCGGGGCAGCCUGGGCUGAGCUAACUGCUCAAGUAACGCCUGUGAUUGGCAGUCGACAGAAGGUGCACGG